RNAcentral lists this ribosomal RNA (975 nucleotides) under uncultured bacterium. RNAcentral describes it as "bacterial SSU rRNA". It matches the Rfam family "Bacterial small subunit ribosomal RNA", at positions 536 to 1502 of the family's 1533-position model. The record is from RNAcentral.
GGUGGUUGCUCGGAUUACUGGGCGUAAGGGCGUGUAGGCGGAGCGGCAAGUCGGUCGUGAAAGCCUCUGGCUCAACUGGAGAAUGUCGAUCGAUACUGCCGCCCUUGAGGGUAGCAGAGGAGACUGGAAUUCCCGGUGUAGCGGUGAAAUGUGUAGAGAUCGGGAGGAACACCGGUGGCGAAGGCGGGUCUCUGGGCUACUCCUGACGCUGAGGCGCGAAAGCGUGGGGAGCAAACGGGAUUAGAUACCCCGGUAGUCCACGCUGUAAACGAUGGGCACUAGGUGUGGGGGGGGUUCAGUCCUCUCCGUGCCGCAGCUAACGCAUUAAGUGCCCCGCCUGGGGAGUACGGCCGCAAGGUUGAAACUCAAAGGAAUUGACGGGGGCCCGCACAAGCGGUGGAGUAUGUGGUUCAAUUCGAUGCAGAGCGAAGAACCUUACCUGGGCUUGACAUGCCGGAAGUAGAAACCCGAAAGGGGGACGACCUGUUGAGUCAGGAGCCGGCACAGGUGGUGCAUGGCUGUCGUCAGCUCGUGCCGUGAGGUGUUGGGUUAAGUCCCGCAACGAGCGCAACCCUCACCCUAUGUUGCCAUCAGGUUAUGCUGGGCACUCUUGGGGAACCGCCGGCGAAGAGCUGGAGGAAGGGGGGGAUGACGUCAAGUCAGCAUGACCUUUAUGCCUAGGGCUACACACACGCUACAAUGGGUAGGAACAGUAGGAUGCGAAGCCGCGAGGCGGAGCCAAUCCUCAAAACUAUCCUCAGUUCAGAUUGCAGGCUGCAACUCGCCUGCAUGAAGUCGGAGUUGCUAGUAAACGCGCGUCAGCUAUAGUGCGUUGAAUACGUUCCCGGGCCUUGUACACACCGCCCGUCACGUCAUGGAAGCCGGUAACACCUGAAGCCGGUGGGCUAACCCGCAAGGGAAGCAGCCGUCUAGGGUGGGACUGGUGACUGGGACGAAGUCGUAACAAGGUAACCU